UCAAUAUUCAAAAGCUUUUUUGAAACUGCUUCUCCCGCCUGUAGGAUCUCUUUAUGCAUGUUUCCCACGCAAAUAGUUUUCAUUCUCACCUGCACUCCCGGCCUGUGCCAAAAUGGGAGCUUUAGAACAGGGUAUGGACAUCCAGCGAAGCGUAAUGGUCACAGAUUGAACUGCUCUGGUUUAAAGCCAGAGUUCGCAACCUCUACCAGCAUCCGCAUAACCUAAGCGAAAAUGGGAGCUUUGGAAUAGGUUAUGGGCAUCCAUCUAACAAUGGGUGAUGAAGGAAUUAUGCAGACACUGUAGCUGCAACUGCUCUGGCAGACAUGUACGCAAAAUGUGUAAGCAUAGACAAGGCACCUGAACUGUUUGACAGAGCCACCAAACAGUAACGGAGUUUCCUUGAUUGUAGAAUAUAUGCAAAAUGCAGAAGCAUAGAUAAAGCACCUGAACUGUUUGACAGGAUGCCUCAAAGCGCACAUUUCUAUUGCAAGGAUAUUAUCAAAAUGGGUUUGUUGAGAAGGGUUGAGAACAUGUAACUACAUGCAUAACAGACCUUCUCAAGCUUUGAAAUGGAUCUUAGGAAGAAUGACUGACAUGGAAUUUUAAUUAUUUUAUUUUAGGUUUUUAAUUAAAGAUCUGAUCUAAUAAUUUUAGAUGGGUAGUGUAGUUAUAGAGAAUAUGCAGGUCAUUAUGUAAUAAUGAAAUUGUUUUGCAAUUUAGAUCAGUUUCAGUUUCAGGGCAA
Cryptomeria japonica (Japanese cedar) is the source of this 742-nucleotide long non-coding RNA. RefSeq lists it as uncharacterized. Lineage: Eukaryota; Viridiplantae; Streptophyta; Pinopsida; Cupressales; Cupressaceae. The record is from RefSeq and is a predicted model, not a curated record. The transcript is spliced from 2 exons.